UUUGACAUGCCAUGAAUUCUUUUUAAAAAGAGGGGUGUCUUUAGGAACACGGACACAGGUGGUGCAUAGCUGUUGUCAGCUCGUGCAGUAAGAUGUUGGAUUAAGUGCUGCAAUAAGCGCAACCCUCCAUCUUAGCAAAUUAUUUUUUUCCCACAA
Molecule: non-coding RNA, 156 nt
Filed under: Ananas comosus (pineapple)
Lineage: Eukaryota; Viridiplantae; Streptophyta; Magnoliopsida; Poales; Bromeliaceae
Description: Bacterial small subunit ribosomal RNA
Rfam family: Bacterial small subunit ribosomal RNA
Source: Rfam by way of RNAcentral